AGGUUCACGGCGAUGUCGAGGGCGUUCCACUGUCCUCCAUCUCCGUUGAAGACGGCCAUGAGCCGAACGUGUGACGCCGGAUGUACGCGCGCCCGUUCUGGACAUGGCCGUUGGCGUUUCCGGGGCCCGAUGGCCCCGGGACGCAAGUU
RNAcentral lists this small RNA (149 nucleotides) under Allobosea sp. LC85. RNAcentral describes it as "Bosea sp. LC85 Alphaproteobacterial sRNA ar35". It matches the Rfam family "Alphaproteobacterial sRNA ar35". Lineage: Bacteria; Pseudomonadati; Pseudomonadota; Alphaproteobacteria; Hyphomicrobiales; Alloboseaceae. The record is from Rfam by way of RNAcentral.